RNAcentral lists this ribosomal RNA (528 nucleotides) under Lodderomyces parapsilosis. RNAcentral's name for it is "Candida parapsilosis partial large subunit ribosomal RNA". It matches the Rfam family "Eukaryotic large subunit ribosomal RNA", at positions 113 to 655 of the family's 3401-position model. Lineage: Eukaryota; Fungi; Ascomycota; Pichiomycetes; Serinales; Debaryomycetaceae. The record is from RNAcentral.
UUUGAAAUCUNGGCAUCUUUCACGUGUCCGAGUUGUAAUUUGAAGAAGGUAUCUUUGGGUCUGGCUCUUGUCUAUGUUUCUUGGAACAGAACGUCACAGAGGGUGAGAAUCCCGUGCGAUGAGAUGAUCCAGGCCUAUGUAAAGUUCCUUCGAAGAGUCGAGUUGUUUGGGAAUGCAGCUCUAAGUGGGUGGUAAAUUCCAUCUAAAGCUAAAUAUUGGCGAGAGACCGAUAGCGAACAAGUACAGUGAUGGAAAGAUGAAAAGAACUUUGAAAAGAGAGUGAAAAAGUACGUGAAAUUGUUGAAAGGGAAGGGCUUGAGAUCAGACUUGGUAUUUUGUAUGUUACUCCCUCGGGGGUGGCCUCUACAGUUUAUCGGGCCAGCAUCAGUUUGAGCGGUAGGAUAAUUGCGUAGAAAUGUGGCACUGCUUCGGUAGUGUGUUAUAGUCUUUGUCGAUACUGCCAGCCUAGACUGAGGACUGCGGCUUCUGCCUAGGAUGUUGGCAUAAUGAUCUUAAGUCGCCCGUCUU